UACGUAGGGGGCUAGCGUUGUCCGGAAUCAUUGGGCGUAAAGAGCGCGUAGGCGGCCAGAUAAGUCCGGUGUGAAAGUCACAGGCUCAACCUGUGAAUGCCGCUGGAAACUGUAUGGCUAGAGUCCGGAAGGGGCGAGUGGAAUUCCUGGUGUAGCGGUGAAAUGCGCAGAUAUCAGGAGGAACACCGGUGGCGAAGGCGGGUCUCUGGGCCGAUACUGACGCUGAGGAGCGAAAGCAUGGGUAGCGAACAGG
This 253-nucleotide ribosomal RNA is filed under the name uncultured bacterium. RNAcentral describes it as "partial 16S ribosomal RNA". It matches the Rfam family "Bacterial small subunit ribosomal RNA", at positions 524 to 776 of the family's 1533-position model. The record is from RNAcentral.